Molecule: ribosomal RNA, 66 nt
Filed under: Staphylococcus chromogenes
Lineage: Bacteria; Bacillati; Bacillota; Bacilli; Caryophanales; Staphylococcaceae
Description: partial 16S ribosomal RNA
Source: RNAcentral
AGCGAGGGGGGGAGGGAACGGCGCACCAAGGCAACGAGACGGAGCCGACCGGAGAGGGGGAUCGGC